UGAGACAAUUAUAGAAAAUACAUAGAGAGGUUGAGUUUAGUUUAAAAUAUUAUUAUACCUUGAAGGAUGGAAAUAUAAAAAAGAUCGAUAAAAUGUCUGCUUGAUCGCAAAACUUUUUCUAAAAUGUAUCUGACGUUUGACUUUUGUAUACCUUCAAAGGUAACUACGACGUUUAAAGUAAAAAUGUCUAAUAAACUAUCUUAUUUAUCGACCCUGUUUCAUCGAGUAAUUUGUCUUAACAUAUUUUCAUUGAAACUUUUCUUCUUUUCUUGACACAUACUUUUCUACUAAAAAUUUUACGCUUUGCGAUUAACGUAUACACUGAAAUUAUACUUCUCUAAAACUUCAUUAAAAAAUCAAUUCAAAACAAACGAAUAAUACACCUUACAAUUCGUCUAUACGCUUAAUUUAUACGCCUUGAAACUAAUUUGAAACAACGUUUCAUUCUUCGUGGCUUAAUAAAUCCCGCCAUUUAAUUUGUAUUUCGUACGCUUUUGCAAAUGCUGCCAACGGAAAAUCCGGGAAGCAUUUCAUCGAACACACGUCGAUAAAUAAAUUUCCAUCCUCUAGAAUGCUUCUACACCAAUUAAACUCAAAUUCUCCCUGCGAAUAUUAAUUAUAAAAGUAUUAAUCACUGUCUUAGUUCUUUUUUCGCCCAACUAAAACUAACAAACUGUUAACGAGCAUAUUUACAUUACAACAUUAUCAACCACUCUCUUAUCUAUUCUCAACAAUCAGCAUUGUAAUUAAACGAAAAUAUACUUUAAUCGAUUUAUCCAUCAUUAAUCAUUCGAUAAAAAAAGCGAAAAAUCCAGCUAAAUAAUUAUUAGCAAUUAUAUUUAUCGACUUGUUAUUUAAGCAAUUAAGUCAAUCAAUAUAUAAGAUAUCAAGUUGACAGGUCAUUAAUAUUAAGACAGUAGAAUUAUUUUUCAUCUUUACGUAAAGAGUAAAUAUACCUAACCGAUAUGAAAUUUCGCUGUAAUUUCUCUCUGUGCAUACAGGGUGUUGAAAAAAUAAAGUGCAAAUUUUUAUGAUUUCCUUAUUGUGAACUACUUAUUGAUAAUAUCAAGAAAUUAACACGGAAUCAAAUUCAAACGAAGCAAAAUUUUUUUUUUUUGGAUAGAGCGUAACUUUAUACUAUGUACACACAGAUUUAUUUUGUAAUUUGAUCUCUGCUUAAAACCUGUUGUAUCGCCCUUGGAUACAAGGUCACCCUUCCCUUCUUGGACCAAACAAAGUUUCUCAUACAUUCUUCUGAAAAGUACUAGUAUUACAACUGCAACUUACGUUUUUAAAUAUCAUCAAUUACAGUUUCAAUACUACCAGAAAAUAAUUCUAUGAUUGAAAUAUCUAUUUACUUAAGGAAGACAUUGUUUCAUUUGAAAUCCUAACACGCUGCAAACUUCAGAAAGGUCAAGUACAACUACUCGCGACAAUAAAUCAUUUUUUGAAUAAUCGUAAAUAAUAUAUAUGUAUGUAUAUUAAUAUUCGAUAAAAACAAGAAUUCUAAAUAAAAAUAUAAUAAUUUCUUUCAAUGCCCAUUUUUGUUCAGCAAUUUUUCUUACACAGGCCAAUUCCCAAAUUUUCGAUAUUCCCACGAUCAAUCGUAUCGUUAAUCGAGAUUCUACCAUUCAAACGCACGCUUGCUUGCUUCAAUUACAAUAUCACAAAAUACAUCGAAUUGUAGUGAUCUUAAUCCGUGGAAAAAAUUAUUUCGCGAUUAUGGUAGCAAUAAUGCUAUAUAAUAAUAUCGCGAUACGAAACGACUUUUCCGGAAACCUAUUGAUAGAUGGCGACGUCGUACUGCUGCAUAGACGCGAUACGAAGAUAAUGAAUCCUCGGCGUUUUUCGUUGUUUAUCGAUGCAUCUAUCGCACGCAUGCACCAAUGAUACAAUGGCGUGCCGUUCUUUAGAAAUAUCUUGCCCUUGUAAAUUUCGCGCUACAAAAGCCACCGUACUUUACAUUGGCGGCAAUAGAGCGGAGCAGCGAAGGGCAUGAAAGGUUGUUGCAGAGGACCCGGAGUCAUUGAAAAUUGUAGGCUGUUGUAGAUGAGAUCGUUGCUCCCCUUUGUCGCGGCCAACCUUUUUUCGCCCUGGUAAUACAGAUAUUGGCCAUUAUUUCGCGAACUAUUCAUUCUUGCGAGACUAAUCGUUGAUGCUUCGAGACGAGUCAACGGUAUUUUCUUGAAGAUCGUUUCUCAACUCGUUAAGGAUCAACCGUUGAAAUAGUUCGUCAAAAGUUACGUAAAUGCAAAUAAAAUAACUAAUUGCGAAAGUAACUUACAUACGGUUUCGUCAAGACAAAAAGUAUGUUACAUCAACAGACGCUUUUCAGAAGCUCAUUACACGAAUAAAAGAUGGAAAAAAUAUUGCCGUGAUUUUAUGAAAAAUAAAUUAUCGCGCUGCUAUAAAUACAUCAAUUUCUUGACAUUCUCGAAUAUUGGGGUCGUAUAAUUUCAUAUUUUACAAGUUCAAUGAGAAAAGAAAUCUUAAUGAGAUGCUAUAAUUUCUUUUCCUUUGUAUAGCGAUAAAAAAUAGAUAUUAUUCGAAAGACUCGUUUCUUAUUAAAAACAAUAUAAUAAAAGAAUUCCCCUCCUGUCUCUCUAUCUUGUUGAAAUGCUAAUUAGCGUUUUUACGAACGCUUGCGUAAGUGUUUCCAGACACCUGCCGUGUGAAAAGCAUAACAGUAAACAAAAUACUGUUUGGAACAACAUGCGUAACUUUCGCAACAUUCGAAAACUGACGAAAAUUACAUAAUUGCAUUAUCUGCUCUCUAUUUGCGCAAAUACUUCAUGCUCGACAGAAGAAAACGCGCGAGGGUACGCAUCAUGUGACGUACAUUAAACCGAGAUUUCCUACAGCGAGAGCUUCGCAUACGCGAAUCGAGCCUCCUACGCAACAGCUGUUUUUCUCCAAAUUCGCCAAAAUUAUCUAUCGAUCCUUACAAAACUAGCAUACAACUAAAUUAUUACGUUAACGUUAACAUUGCUUUCCCAGUGAAAUUUUCAAACGGUGUUUCAAACAUUAUCGAGGACGCGCGAUUUCUCUUUUAUAUUUUUCAGUGUCUCCCGCGUAGAUAAAGAAAAAUGUCGAAUUUUAAUUCGACUUGUUGCUGGAUAAACCUGUCGUCACGUUAGAAGGAUAAUUUGUGCUCUAGGAUGGAUUUUGCGAAGCUUCGUUAAUGGUAAAAUAUAUCAUCAACACAUUCGAUGUAGAACGAAAUAUUAUUUCGAAAUCGUCGCAAAAAUGCUUCGAUAAAAGAAAAAUUAUUCGUACGUGCGACUAUUCGAAUUCAUCAUAUCACGUAAUCCUAUGAGAAUUCUAAUCUAUAUACAGUGUAACAGAACAGCAAAAGUAAAAGUAACAUCUCACAUUUAUACCGAACUAAUAUUUAUCGAAAAAGAAGACAGACACCUUUGGACUUCAUAUUCGAAUAUUGGCUGUCCAGGAAUUUUUAGCACGUUUGAAAGAGUGAUUCGACGCAGGUACGUAUAUUCGCGUACGGUUCCUUUGUACCGAUCUAACACAAUGUAAAUAUUGAAAUUGCCUUAUCGCUGCUGGCGCUUCGAUUGUAAAAAUUUCUAGCUUAAACGGUGGCUCGGUUAACAAAGUGAAACGAUUCACAUGGAUAGAAGAAAAAUGGUAGUUUCGAUUCGACGAGAAAUCAUCGAACGAUUAGCUUUUCAGAGACGUUGCCCUCGAAAUGCGAAUUGAAUAAAUCGCCGUCACGCUCUAGGAAACCUUUUCGUACAAAGUACUCGAGGUACAGAAAGGUUUCGUCUCGGUUUCCCUCGUACAAUCCCCUUAACGCCGAGUGGAUCGAACUCUGGUGCAUGCUCGAGGUGCUCGAGAUCGCAUCUCUUCACGAAUGCUCUCACGUGAUACCACUAUAAUGUCAUACGUCGUAACGAUCGCGGCAUAGUAAUAGUCCAAGAACAAACCUGUCACGCUACACGUCUCUACCGGCACACAUACAUAUAUGCACUCCUUCCACCCGCUUACAUAUACAAAAACGUGUAGUAUACACAGAGAUGCGUUACGCGACCAAUCGAUCGAAUUAAUAUUCACGAUUGUUGAAGCAUGGAAUCGACGUCGAUCGGAAUCCCUCUUGGUAUGCCUGAUUAGCUUACUUGCUCUUUAGCCACGUUCCAAGUCGAAGGAGAUAUUAUCGACUCGAGGAUAUCGUUGACUACAAGUUGUUGCAUCCACGUGGUUUCGACGUUAGCCACAUUAAAUCGAAAAGCAUCGAAAGGCGAUGAUAUUUGAAACACUAUUUUUGAAAAUCUUGGCACUCAGUAUCGUUAUUCUUGUCAUCUUCUUGUAACAAAUGAAUGUAGGUAAAUACUCGUGGUAGUAGACAAUUUGCUUCCCGAGAAUCGAAUAUUAAUCAGUUGCUUAAAUUGAGAAAUUGAGAAAUUGUUUAAAAAGUGGAGUUGACCUGUUUGGUCUGUGAGAGGCUCGCUUAUUUGCGCAUGAAUGAAGAGGAUGAGGAUUAUCGUUGGUAGAGUGGAUGUUUGUGUAAACGUUCAUUUUUAUAGGAGAUCCACAACGAAGGACAAUUUGAAUAGAAAUGUAGAAUUUUGGAAUUGUUAGGUCAUUUUAUACGUUACAGUCUAAUAUUACACUUUUGCAACGAAACAACGAAAUACUUCCUCUUCCUUGGUAAUUAUUUCCUCAAGGCUGGUUGAGCAAGCUGUGUUGUAAUCUCCUCGAGCGGAUUUUCAUUGUAGAAGCGUAUCAAGCGCGUUUGUAGAGAUACACAAGACCCAAAGUCGGAGAACGUGCCCAUGUUUUUUUUUUUACUACCUUGAUAUUGUGAAAUUUUUUAAUAAAGGAAUUCGACUAACAA
Bombus pyrosoma is the source of this 4849-nucleotide long non-coding RNA. RefSeq lists it as uncharacterized. Lineage: Eukaryota; Metazoa; Arthropoda; Insecta; Hymenoptera; Apidae. The record is from RefSeq and is a predicted model, not a curated record. The transcript is spliced from 2 exons.